UUAGAUCCAAGUACUCAAGUCUUUUCUUAGAGUCUCUUCCAAAGUUUUCCUAGGUCUUCCUCUACUCCUUCGGCCCCGAACCUCUGUCCUGUAGUCACAUUUUCGAACCGGAGCGUCAGUAGACCUUCUUUGCACAUGUCCAAACCACCGGAACCGAUUUUCUCUCAUAUUUCCUUCAAUUUUGUCUACUCCUACUUUACCUCGGAUAUCCUAAUUCCCAAUCUUAUCCUUUCUCGUGUGCCCAUACAUCCCACGAAGCAUCCUCAUCUCCGCUACACCCAUUUUGUGUACGUUGAUGCUUCACCGCCCAACAUUCUGUGCCAUACAACAUCGCUGGCCUUAUUGCCGUCCUAUAAAAUUUUCCUUGAGCUUCAGUGGCCUACGACGGUCACACAACACGCCGGAUGCACUCUUACACUUCAUCCAUCCAGCUUGUAUUCUAUGGUUGAGAUCUCCAUCUAAUUCUCCGUUCUCUUGCAAGAUAGAUCCUAGGUAGCGAAAACGGUCACUUUUUGUGAUCUUCGCUAGAUUGCUCCGGUCAUUAGUGUGGAUAAGUAUAUAAAUGGAUAGAGAUAGGAAAGCAAACACAAGAUGUACGUGGUUCACCCAGAUUGGCUACGUCCACGGAAUAGAGGAGUUCUCAUUAAUUGUGAAGGGUUUACACAAGUACAUAGGUUCAAGCUCUCCUUGAGUGAGUACAAGUGAAUGAUUUAGUACAAAUGACAUUAGGAAAUAUUGUGGGAGAAUGAUCUCGUAGCCACGAAACUUCUAAGUACCGGAGUGUGGUAUCGUCUUGACUUGCCUUAUCUGUCUCAUAGGUAGAUGUGACAUCUUCUCUGGAAGUACUCUUCCUCCAUCCAGGGGUGGUAUCUGUAACUGGUGGAGAUGCACAAGGUAAAUGUAUCAAUUUCACUUGAAGCUUACUUGUAGUUUCAUGCUUGGUCAAGCGAGAUACAAACCAUGUAGUAGGAGUCCCCCAAGUCGCCGAGCUGGGGGAUCUGCUGAAAGAGGUGACAGACAAGGUAAGCAAUCAAAGCUCCGGCUGAUUGUUCACAUUCUCCCUAUCUUGCAGGCAGCAUGAAGGAUAAAGAGAAGAAAAAUGAGAAGAGAUGAUAUGGGAUACUUUUGCUUUUGAAGAAGUAACUUUCCACAGGCUUAUUCUUGAACUGGGCUGGAGGGUUUUCUGGUUUCCUCCAGAGUAUAAGGCCGACUGAAGAAUUUGAGGGUCAAAAACAAGUCCAUCAAAUCUAGAGUACGUUCGACCCUGCUGAUAUGGGAUACUUUUGCUUUUGAUAGAGUAGUGGAUGUAUCGGCACAUGUGCUGUUACGCUUGUCUCCACAUGCUUCCUUGUAUCCUUCUCACUUGCCCUAUCUGUUCCUCAGGCAGAGAUGCGGUAUCUUCCCUGGAAGCAUAAGAUGUUGAAGAUGAGUACUCGAGAGCAAUGCCAGGUAAGUAAUCAGGUAAGGGGUUCCAGGCAGUCAGUUCCUGGCUGGAAGCUUGAUUCCAAGUGCUGACUGAUUGCUCUCUUUCUCCUUGUCUUGCAGGUAAGAACAAGGCCAAAGGAAAAGACAGGGAAAAAGCAUGAUAUGGGAUACUCUUGCUUUUAACCCUGAUGAUAUGAGAUAUUCUUGCUCUACUAUAGCUUGUUUACAGAGGUAUUAUCGGGGGGAAAGAAAGCUGAAUAUUUCGAAAGGCUUUGUUGGGAGUGCCCUCUCAGAUAAGAGAAAGGGUUGAGCAUUUUUGCAGGUCUGCCUGUCCGUUAGGGAUGGAAGUCGACAUAUAUAGGAGUCUCCCUAACAUCAAGUAAUAAUGCUAUUCCUUUACCCUGCUUGGUUAUAGCACGGUAGUGGGAGCUGCCAGCUUCACAUGUUUUAACUCUGUGUCAGAGCACUUUGAAAAAGUGGUUUGUGGUAUCUGGAAAGCUGAUGUUGCGUGUGAAGAUUACAGACCUGUCGGGGGUCUGGCUCUCGAGAUUCGGAGAACGAUGCCUCUUCGAUUUUUGAGAAAGCAAUCCUGCUGGGGGUCUGGCUCUCGAGAUUCGGAGAGUGGUGUCUCUUCAAUUUUUGAGAAAGUAAUCAUGUUGGGAGUCUGGCUCUCGAGAUUCGGAGGGCCGUGCCUCUUCGAUUUUGGAGCAAGCAAUCUUGUUGGGAGUGUUUUCUCGAAUGUGAGUAAAGGUUGGGCAUGUUUGCUAGUCUACCUUGCCACGAAGCACAGAGGUUGACACACAGGGACUUUCCAAUUAUCCAGCAGUGGUACUGUUCCUUUACCCUCUCUUCGAUUUUGAGAAAGUAAUCAUGUUGGGAGUCUGGCUCUCGAGAUUCGGAGGGUGGUGCCUCUUCGAUUUUGGAGCAAGCAAUCUUGUUGGGAGUGUUUUCUCGAAUGUGAGUAAAGGUUGGGCAUGUUUGCUAGUCUACCUUGCCACGAAGCACAAAGGUUGACACACAGGGACUUUCCAAUUAUCCAGCAGUGGUACUGUUCCUUUACCCUCUCUUCGAUUUUUGAGAAAGUAAUCAUAUUGGGAGUCUGGCUCUCGAGAUUCGGAGGGCGGUGCCUCUUCGAUUUUGGAGCAAGCAAUCUUGUUAGGAGUGUUUUCUCGAAUGUGAGUAAAGGUUGGGCAUGUUUGCUAGUCUACCUUGCCACGAAGCACAGAGGUUGACACACCGGGACUUUCCAAUUAUCCAGCAGUGGUACUGUUCCUUUACCCUUGUGGGUAAUAAUAUGGUAGCUAGACCUUCAAAAUUUAUGUGUCUAAACUUUGUUAGUGUUGUUUCUUUGCAAUUCUUUUACCCUUCUUGGUCAGAGCGAUGUAGUGGGAGCUGCAAGCUUCACGUGUCUCAACUUUGUCAGAGAACUUUGGCAAAGUUAUCUGUGGUACCCAUGAGCUACUGUUGCGUGUGGGAAGUGGGUGAUUGAACAGUACGAUUCAUGUGCUUUCUACUUCGCCAGAAAUCUUCAACAGAAUGCCCAUAAUUUCCGCAAAGCUGAGUGUGCGUGUGACAGGUGCUGACAAGGCUGGAAAAGUAGGUGCCUCUUCGAUUUCUGAAAUCGGCCCUCGUGGUCUCUGAGCAGCCCAGCUUUUGAGAAAGCAAGCCUCUUCGAUUUCUGAGAUCGACCUUUGUGGUCUUUGAGCAGCCCAGCUUUUGAGAAAGCAAACACCUCUUCGAUUUCUGAGAUCGACCCUCGUGGUCUCUGAGCAGCCCAGCUUUUGAGAAAGCAAACGCCUCUUCGAUUUCUGAGCAGGCGCCUCUUCGAUUUCUGAAGCUUCGUCGAGUGCAGAUUUUUAUAGGGGCUAACAUUAAGUUCCAAAGCACACUUGAAUAUCCACCAGUAGAAGCUCCAUUCUUGCACUUCUAAGAUCUUGAUUUGUCCGACCUCUUCUCUCUUCAACACCUUUGAAAAUGUCUGGCCCCUCCGACCGUCGUUUUGACUUGAACCUUGUUGAAGAGGCAGCCCCCGCCUUCUCCAGACAACAUAUGGCGCCCAUCCUUCGUCUCCCCUACUGGUCCUCUUACCGUUGGGGAUUCCGUGAUGAAGAAUGAUAUGACCGCUGCGGUAGUGGCCAGGAACCUUCUCACUCCCAAAGAUAACAGACUACUUUCCAAACGGUCUGAUGAGUUGUCUGUUAAGGAUUCUCUGGCUCUCAGUGUUCAGUGUGCAGGUUCUGUGUCUAAUAUGGCCCAACGCCUAUUUGUUCGAACCCGCCAAGUUGAAUCAUUGGCGGCUGAAGUGAUGAGUCUCAAACAGGAGAUUAGAGGGCUCAAGCAUGAGAAUAAACAGUUGCACCGGCUCGCGCAUGACUAUGCUACAAACAUGAAGAGGAAGCUUGAUCAGAUGAAGGAAUCUGAUGGUCAGGUUUUACUUGAUCAUCAGAGAUUUGUGGGUUUGUUCCAAAGGCAUUUAUUGCCUUCGUCUUCUGGGGCUGUACCGCGUAAUGAGGCUCCAAAUGAUCAAUAUCUGAUGCUUCCUCCUUCUAGGGUUUUGUCCAGUACUGAGGCUCCGAAUGAUCCCCCUCCGGUGCCUUCUCUUUCUGGGGCUCUACCGACUGCUGAGACUUCUCCUAAGCAACCUUUGUGAAGGCUCCCUCUUGUUUGUUUAUUUUGACUCAAGUAUAUGUACAUAUUUGUAACUUAUCGGGAAUAUCAAUAAAUAAACUUUCCUUCAUUUCAACGUAUUGUGUUAAAUACACCAAAACCUUCUUCGCUAAGUUCUUUGAAUUUUCUUUUGUUGAAGCUUGUAUGUUGAAGCUUUGUGAGUGGAGCAUAUAGGUUGAGGUAGUGUUCCCUUAAUUUCCCGAGUGAGGAAAACUUCUCGGUUGGAGACUUGGAAAAUCCAAGUCACUGAGUGGGAUCGGCUAUAUGAAUCUUAGAACGCCAUUGUGUUCUGUCCGUCCAUUGUGUUCUGUCCUGUGUCAUGUCCUCCGUUAGAUCCAAGUACUCUAAGUCUUUUCUUAGGGUCUCUUCCAAAGUUUUCCUAGGUCUUCCUCUGCCCCUUCGGCCCUGAACCUCUGUCCCAUAGUCGCAUCUUCUAAUCGGAGCGUCAGUAGGCCUUCUUUGCACAUGUCGAAACCACCGUAACCGAUUUUCUCUCAUCUUUCCUUCAAUUUCGGCUACUCCUACUUUACCCCGGAUAUCCUCAUUCCUAAUCUUAUCCUUUCUCGUGUGCCCACACAUCCAACGAAGCAUCCUCAUCUCCGCUACACCCAUUUUGUGUACGUGUUGAUGCUUCACCGCCCAACAUUCUGUGCCAUACAGCAUCGCCGGCCUUAU
This 4767-nucleotide long non-coding RNA is filed under the name Malus domestica (apple). Its description in RNAcentral is "long non-coding RNA (MDOM_LNC011370)". The record is from RNAcentral. Lineage: Eukaryota; Viridiplantae; Streptophyta; Magnoliopsida; Rosales; Rosaceae.